This 357-nucleotide ribosomal RNA is filed under the name Hydraena sp. IBE RA323. RNAcentral describes it as "eukaryotic LSU rRNA". It matches the Rfam family "Eukaryotic large subunit ribosomal RNA", at positions 748 to 1101 of the family's 3401-position model. The record is from RNAcentral. Lineage: Eukaryota; Metazoa; Arthropoda; Insecta; Coleoptera; Hydraenidae.
CCGCCCCGCACGCCCGGGGCGUCCCAACGUCUCAUUGCGAGACGGGGCGCACCCAGAGCGUACACGCUGGGACCCGAAAGAUGGUGAACUAUGCCUGGUCAGGACGAAGUCAGGGGAAACCCUGAUGGAGGUCCGUAGCGAUUCUGACGUGCAAAUCGAUCGUCGGAACUGGGUAUAGGGGCGAAAGACCGAUCGAACCUUCUAGUAGCUGGUUCCCUCCGAAGUUUCCCUCAGGAUAGCUGGCGCUCACAGAGUCUCAUCUGGUAAAGCGAAUGAUUAGAGGCAUUGGGGUCGAAACGGCCUCAACCUAUUCUCAAACUUUAAAUGGGUGAGAUCUCCGGCUUGCUUGAACUAUGA